RNAcentral lists this long non-coding RNA (1393 nucleotides) under Chrysemys picta bellii (western painted turtle). RNAcentral describes it as "lncRNA (ENSCPBG00000013508.1)". The record is from RNAcentral. Lineage: Eukaryota; Metazoa; Chordata; Testudines; Emydidae.
CCAGAGGGGUGUAAUAUUCUCAUUAUUUCAGGCUAACUAAUAAUAAGUAGUUCUAUCCUAGUUGCCAGUUUUUUGAUUUGUGAGUUGAGACAUCUUGAACAAAAUGUUACUGAGAACGCUUCUGCAGUGUCUUGCUGACUGCAUACAAGGUGCUGCCGAGUUUGCCAUCUGCCUGCACGCUCACAGUGGUAAUUAUAUCAGAGUCUCACAAGUGCUGGAACAAGAGGGAUGUCAAAUGCACUUUCCUUCCUUUUGAAGUAGUGCCUAGAGGGCAACUGAUUCACAGCUGUUGCAAUAAGAAGAUAAUGAAAAUUUAUCAACAACAUCUCUACCAAAUUAUGGGAAUUUAUAGCAGAUAUUUGCAAUCUGGGUUAUUGUUGGUGAUUCUGCUCCCCUGGGAAGCAUACAUUGCAAAUACAGCUGCAUGAGCUGAUACUUCUGAACACCUGGCAGUCCCUGAAGUAUUUGCUGAGUAAUAUGCUGAUGAAUACCUGCUGUAUGGUGAUAGCAAACAGGUCCUUCCUGCAGUGCUAAAAGCUCCUUGAAUAGCACAAAGAAGGUCAAGGUGAAGGACUCUGGUUCCUGUUCUAAAUCAUGAUAAAGGCACUUCCACUUUUUUCCGCAGCUCUAUACUUCAUAACCUGUCAUGCAUUGCAGGGAAAUAAGAGGGGAAUGUAUAUAUAUUAUAUUUAGCUGCUGCUGAUCUUGUAACUUCAUAUGUAGUUAGUCAUCCAUUCUCACAGAUUAUGAAAAUAGUAAAAUGAAAUUCACAGCUACACUAUCACAGCUUGAAACUUUGUAAAUGAACAUUCAUAGCAGGGCCCUCAACAUCCUUUUUAUAGACAUGACUGCAGCUACAAUUUUAUAUACUUUUAAACAGCUAUUCCUUUCAAAGCCCCAACCUCUGUGUUUUCUGUGCAAUAUUCUCUAAGGCAUGAUCCUUCUAAUUCUAAACUUCCCCAAACUAAAAGAAGAGAAAGGCAGGCUAUGUACUCACAUAAGCAGAGAAGUAACUAAUUGAAGUUAUUAAAUUAUAAUAUCUGAGUUAUAGGACUUAAAAAAAUAUUUUUUACAUGUAAAAGUCUUAUUUUUGGCAUUGCCAACAGCAAAAUGGCAUUUAGUUCAAGGGAGCAGCUUUUGUAGCUAAAAGCUUUUAUCUCUGAAAAAAGCAGAUACAAAAAGAGAAUUUCCUGCACUGAAGAAACUUCAAGGCAGGGGGAAGCAGUUCUCUUCCCCUAAACCUUUAAUAAGUUUUGCUGACAGGAAGAUGACAAGUGUCCCAUACCACUGGACAGUAGACAGGCAUACAGUGACACAGGCUAUAAUAGACAGCUCAAUCUCCUUAGAGAUACAAAGACGGCUGAAGUGAAUGGCACCUCAUGUCAAUCUUAUG